UGAACGGAGAGUUCGAUCCUGGCUCAGGAUGAACGCUGGCGGCGCGCCUAACACAUGCAAGUCGAACGGUUAAAGCACCUCCGGGUGUGCAUAAAGUGGCGAACGGCUGAGUAACACGUGGGCAACCUGCCCCUCGCUCCGGGACAGCCUCGGGAAACCGUGGGUAAUACCGGAUACUCCGCGGCCCCCGCAUGGGGGCGGCGGGAAAGCCCAGACGGCGAGGGAUGGGCCCGCGGCCUGUUAGCUAGUUGGUGGGGCAACGGCCCACCAAGGCGGUCAACGUGGUGGUCACCGCCAGCGCCGGCGGCGACACCGACUUCAACGCCCGCACCUUUGCCACCUAUUUUGAAAAGGU
This 355-nucleotide ribosomal RNA is filed under the name Candidatus Butyricicoccus stercorigallinarum. RNAcentral's name for it is "bacterial SSU rRNA". It matches the Rfam family "Bacterial small subunit ribosomal RNA", at positions 1 to 349 of the family's 1533-position model. The record is from RNAcentral. Lineage: Bacteria; Bacillati; Bacillota; Clostridia; Eubacteriales; Butyricicoccaceae.